AGACAGCCUCCCUGGGCCUCCCCUCUAAUCUGAGCGUCAGUCACACUUGACAUCAUUCCUAGGUCCCAUCUACCCUCCAUCCCGGGCGAUGCCCUCAUCCCCUUUGGGACACAUGGAGGCAGCUUGGCCCAUUGUGUGCGGGAUUCUGGAGGACAGCACCACCUCCCAAAUGCUAUCUAUUUCCUGCUGGGAACCUGGCUGGGCCAAGGGCAGGAUUGCAGGGAGCCCCUACAGUUUCCAUGCUGGACCCUGCAGCUGGCCACUCUGCACGUCAGCUUUGGUGGCUCACAUGUGGAGGGCCAUGCCUAACUUCUGCCAGGCCACCUGGAGCACCUCAAGGCCACUGAGGCCAAACAGAAAGAGCCAGCUCCAAAGCUCCUGCCACAUCCAGAGCCAGAGCCAGAGCCAGAACCAGCCCCUGUGCUAGAGCCAUCUCCAGCUCCAGCCCCACCACCCGUGGCAGAGCUGGAGCCAGCGUCACCUGCAUCGGACCCUACAGGGCUGGAGGAAGGCGCACCAUUAACUUCAGCCCCAGUGCCAGCUCCUGAACUAGAGCCCACUGGACCCUGGGCUGUGACCACCGAAAACCAGCUGAGGGAGGAGAAGCCGAACAUCUUGGACUUCCCUCCCCGGCUGGUGGCAGAGCAGCUGACAAGGAUGGAGGCGGAGCUGUUUAAGAAAUUGGUGCCUGCCCACUGCCUGGGCUCCAUCUUGUCCCAGCGAGACAACAGGGACUGCGAGUACCUGGCACCCACCAUCGGUGACACUGUGGCACACAUGAACACCAUGACCAACAGUGUCAUCGCUACGUGCCUCGGGGCCCCGGGCAUGACAGCCCAGGAAAGGGCCAGGGUGGAGGAGCUGU
This is a non-coding RNA of Equus caballus (horse), 865 nucleotides long. Lineage: Eukaryota; Metazoa; Chordata; Mammalia; Perissodactyla; Equidae. The record is from RefSeq and is a predicted model, not a curated record.